Small nuclear RNA from Neoarius graeffei (lesser salmon catfish), 110 nucleotides. RefSeq annotates it as U5 spliceosomal RNA. The transcript has a single exon. The record is from RefSeq and is a predicted model, not a curated record. Lineage: Eukaryota; Metazoa; Chordata; Actinopteri; Siluriformes; Ariidae.
UAGUUCAGGUUUCUUUUCAUUGAUGAAAAAAUCUUUUGCCUUUUAUUAAAGAGUUCUAUAGAGAGGAAUUUUAAUGAGUUUAAAAUGAGUUUUUGCUCUGGCGGAGCUGA